AGACUUCUUUGUGCUUUCGAGCGGCAUAGAGCGCACCUAAUGAGUGCGUUGGCAUGACAGAAAGCUAGCAGAUAGAGAGCGCAUAGCGCAAGAAGAAUUUGAGGAGCAUAAUGACAGGCCCAAGAGAAGUGUCUAAAAGCUCUCGUUUCCUUAGUUCGUUUAUUAGAGCAUUUGGAAGCUGGUGAAAUAUUUAUAAAGUGAUUUUUUAUACAAUUAAACCACGAGUGUGUACACAAUUGACAAAGGAUUAUUGAAUUCUCAAGUGGCUUGUGGACGCUUGUAAACCACCACAGAGUUUAUGCUUCGAGGCGAUUGUCGCAUGUAUGGGGUCUUCUGUACGUAUUUCAUAUGACAGCUUUGUCAUUGUCAAGUCACAUUUGUUGUAAGAACUGAGUCUCUACAAAGGACAAGCUGACAAGGCACAGACUGAAUUGCAAACUGGUCACUUCAAAGCUAAACAAAAUAUUGUUUCGCGCGCUUUGGUCAACUUAUGGUCUCAUUAAAUGCCCAUUUCUGGCUCAAUUGGUAUAUAAAGAAGCAAAAUUGUCGUAUUUCGGACGAAGAGCAACCUGAAGAGAUUCAAGAGCUGCCAUUUCAUC
Zeugodacus cucurbitae (melon fly) is the source of this 599-nucleotide long non-coding RNA. RefSeq lists it as uncharacterized. The record is from RefSeq and is a predicted model, not a curated record. The transcript is spliced from 4 exons. Lineage: Eukaryota; Metazoa; Arthropoda; Insecta; Diptera; Tephritidae.